GAUGAACGCUGGCGGCGUGCCUAAUACAUGCAAGUCGAGCGAACGGACGAGAAGCUUGCUUCUCUGAUGUUAGCGGCGGACGGGUGAGUAACACGUGGAUAACCUACCUAUAAGACUGGGAUAACUUCGGGAAACCGUAGCUAAUACCGGAUAAUAUUUUGAACCGCAUGGUUCAAAAGUGAAAGACGGUCUUGCUGUCACUUAUAGAUGGAUCCGCGCUGCAUUAGCUAGUUGGUAAGGUAACGGCUUACCAAGGCAACGAUGCAUAGCCGACCUGAGAGGGUGAUCGGCCACACUGGAACUGGGACACGGUCCUGACUCCUACGGGAGGCAGCAGUAGGGAAUCUUCCGCAAUGGGCGAAAGCCUGACGGAGCAACGCCGCGUGGGUGAUGAAGGUCUUCGGAUCGUAAAACUCUGUUAUUAGGGAAGAACAUAUGUGUAAGUAACUGUGCACAUCUUGACGGUACCAAAUCAGAAAGCCACGGCUAACUACGUG
RNAcentral lists this ribosomal RNA (497 nucleotides) under uncultured bacterium. RNAcentral describes it as "partial 16S ribosomal RNA". It matches the Rfam family "Bacterial small subunit ribosomal RNA", at positions 28 to 507 of the family's 1533-position model. The record is from RNAcentral.